RNAcentral lists this ribosomal RNA (1402 nucleotides) under uncultured bacterium. RNAcentral's name for it is "16S ribosomal RNA". It matches the Rfam family "Bacterial small subunit ribosomal RNA". The record is from RNAcentral.
AGAGUUUGAUCCUGGCUCAGGAUGAACGCUAGCGGCAGGCUUAACACAUGCAAGUCGAGGGGCAGCGGGGAGGAAGCUUGCUUUCUCCGCCGGCGAUCGGCGCACGGGUGAGUAACACGUAUGCAACCUGCCCCUGUCAGGGGGACAACCCGCCGAAAGGCGGGCUAAACCCGCGUACAUGCCACCGGGGCAUCCCGGAGGCAGGAAAGGCUUCGGCCGGACAGGGAUGGGCAUGCGGCGCAUUAGGCAGUAGGCGGGGUAACGGCCCACCUAACCGACGAUGCGUAGGGGUUCUGAGAGGAAGGUCCCCCACACUGGUACUGAGACACGGACCAGACUCCUACGGGAGGCAGCAGUGAGGAAUAUUGGUCAAUGGUCGGGAGACUGAACCAGCCAAGCCGCGUGAGGGAGGAAGGUACAGAGUAUCGUAAACCUCUUUUGUCAGGGAACAAAGGCGGGGACGUGUCCCCGGAUGAGUGUACCUGAAGAAAAAGCAUCGGCUAACUCCGUGCCAGCAGCCGCGGUAAUACGGAGGAUGCGAGCGUUAUCCGGAUUUAUUGGGUUUAAAGGGUGCGCAGGCGGUCUGUUAAGUCAGCGGUCAAAGCCCGGGGCUCAACCCCGGCCCGCCGUUGAAACUGGCAGUCUCGAGUUGGAGAGAAGUAUGCGGAAUGCGCGGUGUAGCGGUGAAAUGCAUAGAUAUCGCGCAGAACUCCGAUUGCGAAGGCAGCAUGCCGGCUCCACACUGACGCUGAGGCACGAAAGCGUGGGUAUCGAACAGGAUUAGAUACCCUGGUAGUCCACGCAGUAAACGAUGAAUGCUGGCUGUCCGGGGGGAUUGACCCCUGGGUGGCGAAGCGAAAGCGAUAAGCAUUCCACCUGGGGAGUACGCCGGCAACGGUGAAACUCAAAGGAAUUGACGGGGGCCCGCACAAGCGGAGGAACAUGUGGUUUAAUUCGAUGAUACGCGAGGAACCUUACCCGGGCUCAAACGGGGAGUGACUCAGGCAGAGACGCCUGUUUCCCACGGGACACUCCCCGAGGUGCUGCAUGGUUGUCGUCAGCUCGUGCCGUGAGGUGUCGGCUUAAGUGCCAUAACGAGCGCAACCCCCGCGUGCAGUUGCUAACAGAUAACGCUGAGGACUCUGCACGGACUGCCGGCGCAAGCCGCGAGGAAGGCGGGGAUGACGUCAAAUCGGCACGGCCCUGGCGUCCGGGGCGACACACGUGUUACAAUGGGUGGUACAGCGGGAAGCCAGGCGGCGACGCCGAGCGGAACCCGAAAUCCACUCUCAGUUCGGAUCGGAGUCUGCAACCCGACUCCGUGAAGCUGGAUUCGCUAGUAAUCGCGCAUCAGCCAUGGCGCGGUGAAUACGUUCCCGGGCCUUGCACACACCGCCCGUCA